This 28-nucleotide non-coding RNA is filed under the name Bombyx mori (domestic silkworm). Lineage: Eukaryota; Metazoa; Arthropoda; Insecta; Lepidoptera; Bombycidae. The record is from RNAcentral.
UCAUAUAAUUUAAUUGAAGGAACACGAA